GUGCUUGCUUCUGUAGCACAUACACUAAAACUGGAAUGAUACAGAGAAGAUUAGCUUGGCCUUCACACAAGGAUGACAUAACUGAACUUGAGAAUUAAAUACGUAGU
This is a small nuclear RNA of Hyaena hyaena (striped hyena), 107 nucleotides long. The record is from RefSeq and is a predicted model, not a curated record. Lineage: Eukaryota; Metazoa; Chordata; Mammalia; Carnivora; Hyaenidae.